Myodes glareolus (Bank vole) is the source of this 125-nucleotide small nucleolar RNA. RefSeq annotates it as small nucleolar RNA SNORA11. Lineage: Eukaryota; Metazoa; Chordata; Mammalia; Rodentia; Cricetidae. The record is from RefSeq and is a predicted model, not a curated record.
GAGGUGUGCUCAAGCACAUUCCCUGGAGAAUGUCUUCUCUGUUCACAGCACACCCAAGAGGAAUCUGGGCCAUCAUAAGGAGAGCACAGCACUGGGUCCUCUCUGUGACUUGAUGCCCUACAUGU